This 75-nucleotide non-coding RNA is filed under the name unclassified sequences. Its description in RNAcentral is "RAGATH-18 RNA". It matches the Rfam family "RAGATH-18 RNA". Rfam says of the family: Actinobacteria, Firmicutes, Fusobacteria, Thermotogae (1 example). Nearby to self-cleaving ribozyme genes The record is from Rfam by way of RNAcentral.
CUUGUGGACUGUCAUAACAAAUGGGAGUAGAUUUUAUAUGAUAUAAAAACCAAACCAGACAGGGAGAAGCAAGAA